Molecule: non-coding RNA, 104 nt
Organism: Acanthosepion pharaonis
Lineage: Eukaryota; Metazoa; Mollusca; Cephalopoda; Sepiida; Sepiidae
Source: the annotation of a GenBank genome assembly
UACAGCCAUAUCACGUUGAAAUACCGGUUUCCGUACGAUCAUCGAAGUUAAGCGUCAUCGAGCCUGGUAAGUACCUAAAUGGGUGACCUCUUGGGAAUAUCAAG